GACGAACGCUGGCGGCGCGCCUAACACAUGCCAGUCGAACGAGCGAGAGAGAGCUUGCUUUCUCAAGCGAGUGGCGAACGGGUGAGUAACGCGUGAGGAACCUGCCUCAAAGAGGGGGACAACAGUUGGAAACGACUGCUAAUACCGCAUAAGCCCACGACCCGGCAUCGGGUAGAGGGAAAAGGAGCAAUCCGCUUUGAGAUGGCCUCGCGUCCGAUUAGCUAGUUGGUGAGGUAACGGCCCACCAAGGCGACGAUCGGUAGCCGGACUGAGAGGUUGAACGGCCACAUUGGGACUGAGACACGGCCCAGACUCCUACGGGAGGCAGCAGUGGGGAAUAUUGCACAAUGGGGGAAACCCUGAUGCAGCGACGCCGCGUGGAGGAAGAAGGUCUUCGGAUUGUAAACUCCUGUUGUUGAGGAAGACAAUGACGGUACUCAACAAGGAAGUGACGGCUAACUACGUG
RNAcentral lists this ribosomal RNA (466 nucleotides) under uncultured bacterium. Its description in RNAcentral is "partial 16S ribosomal RNA". It matches the Rfam family "Bacterial small subunit ribosomal RNA", at positions 28 to 507 of the family's 1533-position model. The record is from RNAcentral.